UCUUUGUACAGCUACGUGUUAGGGUUCGAUCAUCUCUUUGUCAAUGUCGAUUAUCUCUAGAUUCACCUGUUAACAAAAGGAAGCGAAGAAAGCAACUCACAAGGGGGAAAAUUCUAAAGAGAUAAUACAAGAGAAGAGCGGCUGAAGUAAAAGAAAAAGGUAUUCAUUAUCUUUAACAUUUACUUGACAGUGACAACUUGUAUUUUGCUGCAGAAAUGGCUCGAAUAUGGGCAUAGGUUAUGAUUAAGCCGCUUGCAUUAAGUUAAGCCACGCCAAGGAGAUGGACCUGUGUGAUUUAUUCAGUAUUUCCAAUUGGAACAAUUAAUAAGGUAAGAUUUCCUGUCAUCAUAUAAGCUUAAUUUCCUGCUUCUAUGCUGUUUGGUUUACCUGAUUGUGUCGUUUAUUGUAUCUAUUACAUGCUUGCAAUGAGAAUUAAAUUAUACUCCAAUCAGGAUAGGACAUAGACUUCUUUACUUUAGCACAAUGCCAAUCCCAUGAUGCAUCAUUACGCAGGCAAGACAUUUAAAUCCUAAAAGAACAAGUACAGAGAAAAUUUAGGGCGCUGAGAAUAGUGUAUACUGUAGUUACGAGAUGUACGGCUCAAACAUAACUAGAACCGCUUCACAUGCAAGCUUUUGCAUUUCCACAUAUAUCUUGUUCUUGUUCAAUUUUCUACGGACGAGGAAUUUCUAAAAACUUGUGCUUUCUGCUGGUAAUACUAAAGUUUCUAACUUUUGCCAACAAAAUGGAAGUUGUCCUGUUAUCAAAGGAGAAACAUGGGUGGCUACAAAAUGAAGAAGAGCAAGAAUAAUUCAUGGGAAGCAGCACUAUUAUCUUCCUUCUUUGUUCUUUCCUUUCCCUCCUGUGGUAAUUUGGAACUGAUGGUUCCCUUGAAGGAUGUCUUUCAUUUUUGCCUUUUUUAUUAAUACAAGCAUCGGCUUCAGUAGUGAAUUCAUUAAAUAGGCAACUGGCAGCAAUCAACAGACAAAGUUUCUGAAAUUUUAGUUGUUGGUUUUGUUGUAUUUCUCUAAGAAAGGCAAAGAAUUCAAGACCAGUUUGAUAGAUCUAUAUUCAUUCUUAGUCCAUUCCCAAAUCCCAAUGGAUUGCCCACCAUAAAUGAAAUCCUUUUUUUCUAAACUUGCUCUACUUCUCUCUAAACUGUAAAUUUGAUAGUCUUUUUUUUUUCCUCAAAAAUAAUAGAUGAGGAGGAAUGUCAAAAGUCUCAUUGAUCACCAGGAACCUUUUCAAUUACUCCUAUUACACAUGGAGAGAACAUACACAUAUAUAAAAGAGCAUCCAGAGCUAAAAACUUUAAGAUUGACCGAUACAGAUAAUUUUCCUAAACCAAGUUGGAAGAAGAAGAAGAAAGAGUUGGAAGAAAGAUGAGAGGAGUUGGUAUUAAUAAGUUAUAUAGUGUUCCACAUCAGGUACAACAAGGCAUUUAAAGGGUCUACAUAUAUUUUGAGACUUUCCUCCCAUAGUGUCUCAUUCCAUUUAUAGCAUAUCUUUUCAAGCUUGAACUAUGUAAAUACAAAUCGCAAAAAGGGAAGCCUGGGGUACUAAGCUCCAGGUAUGCGCAGGUUCUGGAAAAGGGCCAGACCAAUAUUUAAUAGAUCUAUUGUACAGUCUUACUUUGUAUUUCUGAAAGAGGUUGUUUCCAAACCCCUGGCCUCCUGGUCACACGACGACAACUCUUACCAUUGCGCCUAGGCUCUCGUUCCUUCUAGUAUAAAUAAAAUGUACAUGAAAUAUGAAAGUAUGUUCUAAUCCACUGUUGAGAUUUCUUGUGACAAGGUUUCAGAAUCCUGUACUUUCUUAGAGUGUCCGAGUAGGCUAAGAGAUGCCUCAUCAGCAACAACCUGAUCAAGUUCAGUAGCUGCUGAUUGGUCCUCAAGAAUAUCGUUAGAAUGUCCUAAUGGUUCAUCUGUACUAAUAAAAUGGCACCAGUUUUUCUCCUUUGCAUGAACUAUGGCAGGAUACAAGAAUAACCCCAGAAUAAUGACUGAGCCACUUACUAUAUAUGUCUUUAACGAAGCCAGAUACAUGACAAAAAGAAGCAACAAAGCUGGUGGAAGGCAAAUCGCCGUUGCUCCAAAUGUUUGAAAGGGGACCUUAUAAGGUCUGUGAAGAUCAGGCUUCACUAUCCUUAAUUUUAUGAAGGCUGCAAACUCGAGAAGCAUUCCUACU
Molecule: long non-coding RNA, 2187 nt
Filed under: Nicotiana tabacum (common tobacco)
Lineage: Eukaryota; Viridiplantae; Streptophyta; Magnoliopsida; Solanales; Solanaceae
Description: long non-coding RNA (NTAB_LNC003619)
Source: RNAcentral